Molecule: long non-coding RNA, 713 nt
Organism: Arabidopsis lyrata subsp. lyrata
Lineage: Eukaryota; Viridiplantae; Streptophyta; Magnoliopsida; Brassicales; Brassicaceae
Exons: 3
Source: RefSeq, a predicted model, not a curated record
GGUCGCGUGUUUUUGUGAGGGCAAACUCGUUUUCCAUUUUCGCGAUUAUUCUUUCACCUUCUCCGAAGAAAAUCGACGGCGAUUUUCAGGCGAUUCACUCUCUAGGUUUGGUUGGAUUCGAUGUGUUUGUGAUUGUAUGUUUGUCUCAAAGUUUCGAUUUUCGAUUUGCGGAUGUGUUUCCUCCGUCAGUUGCAUCUCUUCGAUUCCAAUCCUUGAAAUGAGAUAAAUCUUGUUCUCGAUUGUUUUUGUUGUUUGUGGAAUCAAAGAAGUGCAACGCGGCGGAUCCGGCACUGCUAAUCCUGCCUUGGCUCAGAAGCUGUACCAAAGCGGAUUCUCGAGUUGAUGAAUGUUCCUGGUUUAUGUAGAGAAAAUGUGGCUAGUCAUUUACAGAAAUUCCGAUUGUACUUGAAGAGAUUAAGCGGUGCAGCUUCGCAGAGUAGACACAGAGUCUAUCAAAAGAUAUGAAAACAUUCAAGCUCUGGUUUCCUCAGGACAAAUACAUCCACAAACAUUAGCUGCAUUGUGUGGUCAACCAAUAGACAAUCAUCUCUCUGCUAGUUUUGGAGUUUGAUUCCUAAUGCAGAACUGAUUCUCUCAAGAUUUAUUAAUUGGGUUCUGCAUUAGGAAUUGGGUUGAUGUUUGAUGCAGAACUGAUUCUCUCAAGAUUUAUACGGAUGAGGAACUCACAUAGAUGGCUAUGAAAGAAGCCUUUC